Molecule: non-coding RNA, 89 nt
Organism: Danio rerio (zebrafish)
Lineage: Eukaryota; Metazoa; Chordata; Actinopteri; Cypriniformes; Danionidae
Source: Rfam
GGCUCUGUGGUGCAAUGGAUAGCGUAUUGGACUUCUAGGUUGUGAGCUGAGCCAUUCAAAGGUUGUGGGUUCGAGUCCCACCAGAGUCG